GGGCAGUACCAAUGCAUAGAGGGAGCUUGUUCAUCGGAGAACAAAUUACAGGUCUCUUCUCCGCUGAAGAAAUUGUGUUCUUCAAUUUUCACAAAUUGUUGUGCAUUAUUAUAAGCAGCCUUUUGAAAGGGGAAGCAGUUCAAAGAAGACGCCGGAGACGACAUAAUUUGGUGAUGGCUUUCGAGCAUUCCGGCAGCCGCGGAUGAAACGACGGCGUUUGGGCUGUUGUCUUCGUUCAAUAUGGCGCUUGAGUCGCUGUCCGAUGACCCAUCUUUAAAAUCAGGGAAUAAUGACACUUCAACUCUUUGAUCAUCGCCGUCAUCGGCGCCGACGGUUCUGAAGCUCUCGUAGUUGAAGUCAUCGGAAUGAUCCGAAGCAACGGGAAGAGAAACAUGAUCCACAGGAAGAUGAUUAGUUGUCUGUUCAAUUAGUAAAUUGUCCGAUUCCGACACGAAAAUCUCUUCCUUCACUGACAAAU
This 478-nucleotide unclassified non-coding RNA is filed under the name Hevea brasiliensis (rubber tree). The record is from RNAcentral. Lineage: Eukaryota; Viridiplantae; Streptophyta; Magnoliopsida; Malpighiales; Euphorbiaceae.